AACGAACGCUGGCGGCAUGCCUAACACAUGCAAGUCGAACGAAGGCUUCGGCCUUAGUGGCGCACGGGUGCGUAACGCGUGGGAAUCUGCCCUUUGGUUCGGAAUAACAGCUGGAAACGGCUGCUAAUACCGGAUGAUGACGAAAGUCCAAAGAUUUAUUGCCAGAGGAUGAGCCCGCGUUGGAUUAGGUAGUUGGUGGGGUAAAGGCCUACCAAGCCGACGAUCCAUAGCUGGUCUGAGAGGAUGAUCAGCCACACUGGGACUGAGACACGGCCCAGACUCCUACGGGAGGCAGCAGUGGGGAAUAUUGGACAAUGGGCGCAAGCCUGAUCCAGCAAUGCCGCGUGAGUGAUGAAGGCCCUAGGGUUGUAAAGCUCUUUUACCCGGGAAGAUAAUGACUGUACCGGGAGAAUAAGCCCCGGCUAACUCCGU
Molecule: ribosomal RNA, 432 nt
Filed under: uncultured bacterium
Lineage: Bacteria
Description: partial 16S ribosomal RNA
Rfam family: Bacterial small subunit ribosomal RNA
Source: RNAcentral